Molecule: long non-coding RNA, 835 nt
Filed under: Olea europaea subsp. europaea
Lineage: Eukaryota; Viridiplantae; Streptophyta; Magnoliopsida; Lamiales; Oleaceae
Source: RNAcentral
CUCGUGUUCUGUGGUAUUUGCAGACACUUUAGACUUAAUGGCAAAGGUUGAAAGGUUCAACUUAUUUGAAUUGAAUGGCUCUUGAUAGUAGGGCCUUUUGACUUGAUCUCAGUAGUGUUCAAAUUGAUAUAAUCCAUCCUUAAGCUUCCCUUCCAACAAUACCUCCUUUGUUUGUUUGUCCUUAACAACACAAAAAUCAGAGUGUAACUGCACAAAUACACCAUUAUCAGCAGUCAAUUGUGAGACACUUAUCAAAUUUUUCUGGAUUGAUGGUACCAGUAGAACAUUACUGAGAACCAAUGAUUUGUUAAUACAUGUUCUCAAGUGAUUUGUGCCAAUGUGAGAGAUAUGAAGUUUAUUUCCAUUACCAACAGUAAGACUCUCCUUACCACCAUACUCAUGUGCUUCAAACAAGUUCCCUUUCUCACUAGUUACGUGAUUUCUUGCUCCUGUGUCUGCAAACCAUGCUGGAUUUGAAACAGUUCUUGAUGAGGCCACAAGUGUAGCUAGUUCUGAGAAGUUGUGUUGAUAGUACUGAUUAGGUUUGGUACCUAUGUAUCUCUCAUCAUAACGGUUGAAGCACUUCUUAGUUGAGUGAUUACUCAUCCCACAGAUUUGACAUGGUCCUUUACUUCCAAUUGGCCUGCCUCCUCUGCCCCUGCUUCUUCUUCCUCUGUUAUUAGAGCUUCUUCCACCAUAGUUAAAUCUUCAUCCUCUGUUUGUGUUGGAUUUUUGCAUAAAAUUUGCUGAGGCUUGACUUAAGUUAAAUGAGGUUAGGCUGCUUUACACAACAUUUAGAUGUUCAAUCCUGCUUUCAUAGUUCAUUAGUUUGGAU